AGAGUUUGAUCAUGGCUCAGAUUGAACGCUGGCGGCAUGCUUUACACAUGCAAGUCGAACGGCAGCACGGGGGCAACCCUGGUGGCGAGUGGCGAACGGGUGAGUAAUAUAUCGGAACGUGCCCAGUCGUGGGGGAUAACCAGUCGAAAGAUUGGCUAAUACCGCAUGAGAUCGCAAGAUGAAAGCGGGGGACCGCAAGGCCUCGCGCGAGAGGAGCGGCCGAUGUCGGAUUAGCUAGUUGGUGGGGUAAAAGCCUACCAAGGCGACGAUCCGUAGCUGGUCUGAGAGGACGACCAGCCACACUGGGACUGAGACACGGCCCAGACUCCUACGGGAGGCAGCAGUGGGGAAUUUUGGACAAUGGGCGCAAGCCUGAUCCAGCCAUGCCGCGUGUGUGAAGAAGGCCUUCGGGUUGUAAAGCACUUUCGGACGGAACGAAAUCGCGCGGUUGAAUAUUCCGCGUGGAUGACGGUACCGUAAGAA
Molecule: ribosomal RNA, 483 nt
Filed under: uncultured Denitratisoma sp.
Lineage: Bacteria; Pseudomonadati; Pseudomonadota; Betaproteobacteria; Nitrosomonadales; Sterolibacteriaceae
Description: bacterial SSU rRNA
Rfam family: Bacterial small subunit ribosomal RNA
Source: RNAcentral